UAGUUCAGUGGUAGAAUCCUUGUUUGCUUUACAAGAGACUUGGGUUCAAUUCCCAG
This 56-nucleotide transfer RNA is filed under the name Alligator mississippiensis (American alligator). It matches the Rfam family "tRNA", at positions 8 to 63 of the family's 71-position model. Rfam says of the family: Transfer RNA (tRNA) molecules are approximately 80 nucleotides in length. Their secondary structure includes four short double-helical elements and three loops (D, anti-codon, and T loops). Further hydrogen bonds mediate the characteristic L-shaped molecular structure. tRNAs have two regions of fundamental functional importance: the anti-codon, which is responsible for specific mRNA codon recognition, and the 3' end, to which the tRNAs corresponding amino acid is attached (by aminoacyl-tRNA synthetases). tRNAs cope with the degeneracy of the genetic code in two manners: having more than one tRNA (with a specific anti-codon) for a particular amino acid; and 'wobble' base-pairing, i.e. permitting non-standard base-pairing at the 3rd anti-codon position. The record is from Rfam by way of RNAcentral. Lineage: Eukaryota; Metazoa; Chordata; Crocodylia; Alligatoridae.